GAGUAAACAAACAUGUCAGCUAAUUUGUUGUUGGUGACAUUUGUCAGUUAGCUAAUGUCAGCUGACAUUUUGUGUCACGGAUCCACUACUGCCAUCUGACUUUUGCCGUGUCAGGUAGACACAUCAAUCAUCAAUGUCCGCCCAACUACGAUGGACGCUGCGAUCCCAUGUGAUGUUUAUGUACCUAAUCGGUGCUGCAGGUGUUAGAAAUUAUAAGCAGUUUGAUGAGCAAAUGUCCUGGAAUGAUGCCAGA
This is a long non-coding RNA of Physella acuta, 253 nucleotides long. RefSeq lists it as uncharacterized. Lineage: Eukaryota; Metazoa; Mollusca; Gastropoda; Physidae. The record is from RefSeq and is a predicted model, not a curated record.